UCCCAUAUCAACUCGUACGUCCCCAUACAUCACUGUCCCCUCAUUGUUCGAGACGUCUUGGGGACGUUUAUGAGCCGUCCCAAUGCUGUCCUGUUUCCGAAACGUCUCCGGUAAGUGAGACGGCUAGUGAUAGACGUACCCUUGCAUCCUAGCCACUAAACCAAAAUGUCCAUUAAUUUUAACGGCGCACACGGCUUUAUACUUCUCCGGCAAACUUUAUUUUCCAGUAUAGUCCGGAAGUUACACACAUUGACUUAUUCAAGAACCUCCCCCUCUUCCAUCGACGACCAGAAA
RNAcentral lists this long non-coding RNA (294 nucleotides) under Brassica napus (rape). RNAcentral's name for it is "long non-coding RNA (BNAP_LNC024604)". The record is from RNAcentral. Lineage: Eukaryota; Viridiplantae; Streptophyta; Magnoliopsida; Brassicales; Brassicaceae.